CGAGGAAUAUUGCACAAUGGGCGCAAGCCUGAUGCAGUAACGCCGCGUGGGGGACGAAGACCUUCGGGUUGUAAACCUCUUUUCAGCGAGACGAGUGAGGACGGUAUCGUUGGAAUCAGUCUCGGCUAACUACGUGCCAGCAGCCGCGGUAAGACGUAGGAGGCGAGCGUUAUCCGGAUUCACUGGGCGUAAAGCGCAUGUAGGCGGUUGGACAAGUCCUUACUGAAAGCCCCUGGCUCAACUGGGGGAGGCGUGAGGAGACUGUACGACUGGAGGGCAGGAGAGGUCGGUGGAACUCCCGGUGUAGCGGUGGAAUGCGUAGAGAUCGGGAAGAACAUCAGUGGCGAAGGCGACCGACUGGGCUGCACCUGACGCUGAAAUGCGAAAGUGUGGGGAGCAAACGGGAUUAGAUACCCCUGUAGUCC
RNAcentral lists this ribosomal RNA (425 nucleotides) under uncultured bacterium. Its description in RNAcentral is "bacterial SSU rRNA". It matches the Rfam family "Bacterial small subunit ribosomal RNA", at positions 355 to 796 of the family's 1533-position model. The record is from RNAcentral.